CAUGGAGUCAGUUCGGCUGGACAGGUGACAGGUGCUGCAUGGCUGUCGUCAGCUCGUGUCGUGAGAUGUGGUUAAGUCCCGCAACGAGCGCAACCCUUGUCCUUAGUUGCCACCAUUCAGUUGGGCACUCUAAGGAGACUGCCGGUGUUUAAACCGGAGGAAGGUGGGGAUGACGUCAAGUCCUCAUGGCCCUUAUAUCCAGGGCUACACACACGCUACAAUGGUCGGCACAAUAGGUUGCCAAGUCGUGAGACGGAGCCAAUCCUCCAAAGCCGGCCUCAGUUCAGAUUGCAGGCUGCAACUCGCCUGCAUGAAGUUGGAGUUGCUAGUAAACGCAGGUCAGCUAUACUGCGUUGAAUACGUUCCCGGGGAUU
Molecule: ribosomal RNA, 374 nt
Filed under: uncultured Azospira sp.
Lineage: Bacteria; Pseudomonadati; Pseudomonadota; Betaproteobacteria; Rhodocyclales; Rhodocyclaceae
Description: bacterial SSU rRNA
Rfam family: Bacterial small subunit ribosomal RNA
Source: RNAcentral